RNAcentral lists this ribosomal RNA (497 nucleotides) under uncultured bacterium. RNAcentral describes it as "partial 16S ribosomal RNA". It matches the Rfam family "Bacterial small subunit ribosomal RNA", at positions 28 to 507 of the family's 1533-position model. The record is from RNAcentral.
GAUGAACGCUGGCGGCGUGCCUAAUACAUGCAAGUCGAGCGAACGGACGAUGCGCUUGCUUCUUGGAUGUUAGCGGCAGACGUGUGUGUAACACGUGGAUCACCUACCUGUAAGACGGGGAUCAUCUCGGGAAACCGGCUCUAAUACCGUAGAAGAUUUUGAACCGCGUUGUUCAAAAGUGAAAGACGGUGUUGCUGUCUCUUCUCGAUGCAUCUGGGCUUCAUUAGCUAGUUGUGACGGUAAAGGCUUACCAAGGCUACGAUGCGUGACCGAGCUGACAGGGUGAUCGGCCACCUUGGAGCGGAGACGCGGUCCAGACUCCUACGGGAGGCAGCAGUAGGGAAUCUUACGCAGUGGGCGAAAGCCUGACGGAGCAACGCCGCGUGAGUGAUGAAGGUCUUCGGAUCGUAAAACUCUGUUAUUAGGGAAGAACAUAUGUGUAAGUAACUGUGCACAUCUUGACGGUACCUAAUCAGAAAGCCACGGCUAACUACGUG